GUUGAUACAUUAUAAAUCUGUUUGAAGUUAAAACGUAUGGUCACACCAGUUAUGCACAACAAAUAUCUUCAAUUUACACCUUGCCAAGGCAAACAUGCAGCCACCAAGGGUUGUGCAUGAGAACCCAAUACAAGGUGUAAUUUCACGAGUUUUAGCACAAGUCUGGUAUUACCCAUUAAUACAGUACUAGGGUGGUACCUUUGAUCCAAG
Pelobates cultripes (western spadefoot toad) is the source of this 210-nucleotide non-coding RNA. The record is from the annotation of a GenBank genome assembly. Lineage: Eukaryota; Metazoa; Chordata; Amphibia; Anura; Pelobatidae.